This 492-nucleotide ribosomal RNA is filed under the name uncultured bacterium. RNAcentral's name for it is "partial 16S ribosomal RNA". It matches the Rfam family "Bacterial small subunit ribosomal RNA", at positions 29 to 507 of the family's 1533-position model. The record is from RNAcentral.
AGUGAACGCUGGCGGCAGGCCUAACACAUGCAAGUCGAACGGCAGCACAGUAAGAGCUUGCUCUUACGGGUGGCGAGUGGCGGACGGGUGAGGCAUACAUCGGCAUCUUCUUUUUCGUGGGGGAUAACGUAGGGACACUUCCGCUAAUACCGCAUACGACCUACGGGUGAAAGCAGGGGUUCUUCGGACCUUGCGCGAUUGAAUGAGCCGAUGUCGGAUUAGCUAGUUGGCGGGGUAAAGGCCCACCAAGGCGACGAUCCGUAGCUGGUCUGAGAGGAUGAUCAGCCACACUGGAACUGAGACACGGUCCAGACUCCUACGGGAGGCAGCAGUGGGGAAUAUUGGACAAUGGGCGCAAGCCUGAUCCAGCAAUACCGCGUGGGUGAAGAAGGCCUUCGGGUUGUAAAGCCCUUUUGUUGGGAAAGAAAAGCAGCAGGUUAAUACCCCGCUGUUCUGACGGUACCCAAAGAAUAAGCACCGGCUAACUUCGUG